This 253-nucleotide ribosomal RNA is filed under the name uncultured bacterium. RNAcentral's name for it is "partial 16S ribosomal RNA". It matches the Rfam family "Bacterial small subunit ribosomal RNA", at positions 524 to 776 of the family's 1533-position model. The record is from RNAcentral.
UACAGAGGUCUCAAGCGUUGUUCGGAUUCAUUGGGCGUAAAGGGUGCGUAGGCGGCGCGGUAAGUCGGGUGUGAAAUCUCGGAGCUUAACUCCGAAACUGCAUUCGAUACUGCCGUGCUUGAGGACUGGAGAGGAGACUGGAAUUUACGGUGUAGCGGUGAAAUGCGUAGAUAUCGUAAGGAAGACCAGUGGCGAAGGCGGGUCUCUGGACAGUUCCUGACACUGAGACACGAAAGCCAGGGGAGCAAACGGG